CCUACGGGGGGCUGCAGUGGGGAAUAUUGGACAAUGGGGGGAACCCUGAUCCAGCCAUGCCGCGUGUGUGAAGAAGGCCCUCGGGUUGUAAAGCACUUUCAGUGAGGAAGAACGCCUGGUGGUUAAUACCCAUCAGGAAAGACAUCACUCACAGAAGAAGCACCGGCUAACUCCGUGCCAGCAGCCGCGGUAAUACGGAGGGGUGCGAGCGUUAAUCGGAAUUACUGGGCGUAAAGCGCGCGUAGGUGGCUUGAUAAGCCGGUUGUGAAAGCCCCGGGCUCAACCUGGGAACGGCAUCCGGAACUGUCAAGCUAGAGUGCAGGAGAGGAAGGUAGAAUUCCCGGUGUAGCGGUGAAAUGCGUAGAGAUCGGGAGGAAUACCAGUGGCGAAGGCGGCCUUCUGGACUGACACUGACACUGAGGUGCGAAAGCGUGGGUAGCAAACAGGAUUAGAUACCCUAGUAGUC
This 466-nucleotide ribosomal RNA is filed under the name Vreelandella stevensii. Its description in RNAcentral is "partial 16S ribosomal RNA". It matches the Rfam family "Bacterial small subunit ribosomal RNA", at positions 338 to 795 of the family's 1533-position model. The record is from RNAcentral. Lineage: Bacteria; Pseudomonadati; Pseudomonadota; Gammaproteobacteria; Oceanospirillales; Halomonadaceae.